This 607-nucleotide unclassified non-coding RNA is filed under the name Hevea brasiliensis (rubber tree). Lineage: Eukaryota; Viridiplantae; Streptophyta; Magnoliopsida; Malpighiales; Euphorbiaceae. The record is from RNAcentral.
GUCGCAUUUAGAGCAGUUGGCGAGGAGGAAGGUCCAAGAAAGAUGACCAGAUUUAGAAAGACUCCUGCUAGGUUAGAAGAUUUUACCUAUAGAGCUGUAGUUAAAAUAUAAAAAAACACAAAUGUUUAAAAUAAUGACUUGAGUAUUGUAAAUUUUAAUAAAUUAAUUAACCCACAACUCAUCCUUAAACCAUUCAUAUAUUAAAAGGUUUAUUGAAUCAUUUUUUAUUUAUAAUAUUUAUUUAAAAUAUAAAAUAUCCAUUUAUCACUUGCUUUCAUCUCUCAUGUACAUAUUUCAUUUGCUACUGUAAAUGAAAAAAUAACAGGUAACUCUAUCUCAACAUUCUAAAUUAAGGAAAAGCAAAUGAGCUGAAUGCAGGCAUGUUAAGUAUUAACUGUGUCUCUUUGUACAAAGGACUUUCUGCCCAAUGUGUACAAAAAGCAAGACCCAGCUUUUUUUUUCAAUUUAUUGUUUUUUGAUGAGGUUAUCCCUAUUAAUUGGUCAAGCUCCUCAAUCUAAUAAUUUCAUCCUGUUAAAAAAAUUAAUAAUUUUUUCAAUAUUUUUAAUCAGAAGCUCCGAAUCCUUGGCACCAUUACUUCCUUCUCAC